UAGCCGAUUUUAGGGCCCGCACGCAGUCGC
RNAcentral lists this small RNA (30 nucleotides) under Bombyx mori (domestic silkworm). RNAcentral describes it as "ovarian small RNA-22375". The record is from RNAcentral. Lineage: Eukaryota; Metazoa; Arthropoda; Insecta; Lepidoptera; Bombycidae.